Molecule: ribosomal RNA, 240 nt
Filed under: uncultured Bacillota bacterium
Lineage: Bacteria; Bacillati; Bacillota
Description: uncultured Firmicutes bacterium partial 16S ribosomal RNA
Rfam family: Bacterial small subunit ribosomal RNA
Source: RNAcentral
GGCGAACGGGUGAGUAACGCGUGAGUAACCUGCCCUGGAUGGGGGACGAACAGUUGGAAACGACUGCUAAUACCGCAUAAGCCCACGAUCCGGCAUCGGAUUGAGGGAAAAGGAAUUUAUUCGCUUCAGGAUGGACUCGCGUCCAAUUAGCUAGUUGGUGAGGUAACGGCCCACCAAGGCGACGAUUGGUAGCCGGACUGAGAGGUUGAACGGCCACAUUGGGACUGAGACACGGCCCAG